AAACCAAAACCCCCAUGCACGUCACCAAAGCCUCCCGGUAGCGCCCCGAUGUGCCCGUUGAAAUCCCCUGCUACAACAAUCUUCUCCGAACUAGGCACGCCUCUCACCACCUCCUCCAAAGCCUCCGAAUUGGUGAUAUUUCUAUGGCAUUAUAUUGCAAACUUUGGUGGAACUUUAGAACCACAGUGUCUUUGUGGAAGGAUUUCAUGUUUAAUAAAUACUGCAAGAAAGAGCAUCCAAAAAUAGUCAUGUGGAAAAAUGGGGGAGGUGGAUCUCAAGUGUGGAAGAAGAUGCUUAUUGCUAGGGAUCUGGUGGAACAUCUCAUUAUAUGGCAACUGAAUCAAGGAAAUUCUGAUAUUUGGUUAGAUAAUUGGACUGGGCAGGGUGACCUGUUAUCUAUAAUGGAAGGAGGACAAGAAGAGCAAGAACAGUAUAAGAAGGUGAAGGAUCUGGUAAGGGAAGGAAACUGGGAUGAACAGCUGAUUAGAACUUUAUUCACAGAGGAGAUAGCAGACCAUGUUCUUAAGAAGGUGACACCUCCAUCAGAAGUAGAGAAAGACUGGCCAAUAUGGAGUAUUGAACCUAAAGGUUUGUUUACAGUGAAAUCAGCUUGGAAUUAUAUAAGGAAUAGGGAAAGUAUUGACCAUAUUUUCAAGAGGAUAUGGGUGAAAGGUUUGCCCUUCAAGAUAUGUUUUUUCAUGUGGAAGUUAUGGAGAAGAAAAGUUCCUGUUGAUGAUAUAACAAGGAGGUUUGGAAUGCAAGGCCCUUCUAAGUGCUGGUGUUGUGAGGAACCAGCAGUGGAGACAAUUCAGCAUGUCUUCAGGAGUUCUUUUUAUGCUAACAGGACCUGGUCCUACUUUUCUUCUUUUGCAGGUAUUACUAUUCAGAAUUUGACACUGGGAGGAACAAUAUUAAGUUGGUGGAAUGCACAAGUAAAAGGGAGGGAACAACCAUACUAUUUGGCUACGCCUAGCGUUAUUCUAUAGGAAUUGUGGAGAAAACAAGAACAUCUCCGGCUUGAGGAUAAUAGACAAUGCUACAAGAAACCUGAGAAUGUUAUUGAAAGUCAGAAAGCCAGAGCUGGAAUUUUCAAAUGAAUGGCCAAAUAUAAUUAAGGAGAUGGGCAAUUUAAAAAUGAAAGUUAAGGCUGGUAAAGUCUUAUGGAAAGCACCAGAGGAGGGAUGGGUAAAGUACAACACAGAUGGAGCAGUUAGAGGUGCAGAAAGAGGAAGCUCAUAUUCAUUUUGCUUGAGGGAUGAGAAAGGAGAUAUCUUAUUUGCUAAAGGAGAACAACAGUACUAUGCUAACAGUAUGCAAGCAGAGGCUUAUGCAGUCUUUUAUGCAGCUAAACAUAGUACAACAUCUCAGCACAGUAAGAUUAUAUUUCAGAUGGACUCCUUACUUAUGCAGAAGCUACUAACAAAGGAUUGGCCUUGUCCAUGGAAUAUAGCAUACAUAGUCAAACAAAUCCACAAAUUCAUGAAGAAUAAGCAAGUACAGUAUCAGCACAUAUACAGGGAGGGGAACCAAUUGGCAGAUUAUCUAGCAAAUUUGGCAUUACAAGUUUCCAACAGUUACAGAGCAGAGGUAAAGCUAUCCUAAACAGUGACAAAGGGUAGAGUCCAUAUUUGCAAAUCAUACAAGUCAAGGGGUAAAGAGGGGAAGGAAAUUUUUACUGAAAAGGCUACAGUUAGUAUCUAUACAAUAGUUAGCAGUAAAGGUACUAAUUCUAAGCUAUUACAGUCAUCAUGAAGGAAAUUCAGCAACAAGAGAAGAUCGAUGGGCCAAAUGGAGCAACAUGCACCUGAGAGGAACAAGGAAAGCUGAACAAUGGUGGGGCCAAUCAACUCCUUUUUAUCAUCUGUUCUACAUCUACGGAGGAGGAACAAGAGAUCGACGGGUCAGAUGGAGCAACAUGCACCUGAGAGGAACAAGGAAAGCUGAACAUUUGUGGGGCCACUCAAUUCCUUUUUAUCAUCUCUUCAACAUCUAUGGAGGAAGAGCAAGAGAAUUUUCGCUAUGUAGAUCUGGAAACUACAACAGAAGACAAGAAGAAGGAAACAUACCUGGAUACUACAGCUUCAAGCUGAAGACUAGAUCCAUCUUGUUUGACCAAAAAUACAUCCUUUAUCUCAUUUAUUGGAGAAUGCAGCUGAAACACAAGCAAUAUCGACAUUCAGAGAGUAUGAGUACUCGCGGGGAACAUUGAAGACCUAAUUCCACCCAGUGAAAGAUACAUUUUCAACUUUAGUUCAAAGGAUGAGCUCAAGAAUUGGCAUUUGUACUCAGAUUCAGAAUAUGGAGGUCUAUCCUCAGCAGCUUUGGAGAUUAAGGACACUGGAAAUGGGUCAACUAGUGUUG
RNA transcript from Capsicum annuum, 2361 nucleotides. It is a transcript of the gene named probable complex I intermediate-associated protein 30, with no coding region annotated. The record is from RefSeq and is a predicted model, not a curated record. Lineage: Eukaryota; Viridiplantae; Streptophyta; Magnoliopsida; Solanales; Solanaceae. The transcript is spliced from 3 exons.